AUACUUACCUGGCAGGGGAGAUACCAUGAUCAUGAAGGUGGUUUCCCCAGGGCAAGGCUUAUCCAUUGCACUCCGGAUGUGCUGACCCCUGCGAUUUCCCCAAAUGUGGGAAACUCGACUGCAUAAUUUGUGGUAGUGGGGAACUGCGUUCGCGCUCUCCCCUA
Molecule: small nuclear RNA, 164 nt
Filed under: Tupaia belangeri chinensis (Chinese tree shrew)
Lineage: Eukaryota; Metazoa; Chordata; Mammalia; Scandentia; Tupaiidae
Description: Tupaia chinensis (Chinese tree shrew) U1 spliceosomal RNA
Rfam family: U1 spliceosomal RNA
About the family: U1 is a small nuclear RNA (snRNA) component of the spliceosome (involved in pre-mRNA splicing). Its 5' end forms complementary base pairs with the 5' splice junction, thus defining the 5' donor site of an intron.
Source: Rfam by way of RNAcentral